AGAGACAGCAGUCGCCGCGGUAAUACGAAGGGUGCAAGCGUUAAUCGGAAUUACUGGGCGUAAAGCGUGCGUAGGCGGUGAGUUAAGUCUGCUGUGAAAUCCCCGGGCUCAACCUGGGAAUGGCAAUGGAUACUGGCAAGCUAGAGUGUGUCAGAGGAUGGUGGAAUUCCCGGUGUAGCGGUGAAAUGCGUAGAGAUCGGGAGGAACAUCAGUGGCGAAGGCGGCCAUCUGGGACAACACUGACGCUGAGGCACGAAAGCGUGGGGAGCAAACAGGAUUAGAUACCCCCGUAGUCCCUGUCUCUUAUAC
Molecule: ribosomal RNA, 309 nt
Filed under: uncultured bacterium
Lineage: Bacteria
Description: partial 16S ribosomal RNA
Rfam family: Bacterial small subunit ribosomal RNA
Source: RNAcentral